UGUGGGAUCCACCGGGGGGCAGAGCCUGGCAGGUGUGGGAUCCACCGGGGGGCAGAGCCUGGCAGGUGUGGGAUCCACCGGGGGGCAGAGCCUGGCAGGUGUGGGCUUCAGGACAGACGUGAGGACCGCCUAACAAUGACCCCUGUCGGUGAUUAUGUGAUCCACAGCCUCCAGGACGUACCCCACAGGUCUUGGCUAGGCGCUCGCCACAUUGACUAUUG
Non-coding RNA from Procambarus clarkii (red swamp crayfish), 221 nucleotides. The record is from RefSeq and is a predicted model, not a curated record. NCBI's taxonomy places the organism in Eukaryota, Metazoa, Arthropoda, Malacostraca, Decapoda, Cambaridae.